CUGCUACCAUGCAGUCGACGCGGUUUUCCCGCAAGGGAAAACUGAGUGGCGAACGGGUGAGUAACACGUGGGUGACCUACCUUCGAGUGGGGGAUAACGUCCCGAAAGGGACGCUAAUACCGCAUAACAUCCUGCCUUUGAACAGGCGGAGAUCAAAGCCGGGGAUCGCAAGACCUGGCGCUUGAUGAGGGGCCCGCGUCCGAUUAGCUAGUUGGUGGGGUAAUGGCUCACCAAGGCAACGAUCGGUAGCCGGCCUGAGAGGGCGGACGGCCACACUGGGACUGAGACACGGCCCAGACUCCUACGGGAGGCAGCAGUGGGGAAUUGUUCGCAAUGGGCGCAAGCCUGACGACGCAACGCCGCGUGGAGGAUGAAGGUCUUCGGAUUGUAAACUCCUGUUGCCCGGGACGAAUAGCUCCAACCUAAUACGUUGGAGUGUGACGGUACCGGGUGAGGAAGCCCCGGCUAACUCUGUGCCAGCAGCCGCGGUAAUACAGAGGGGGCAAGCGUUGUUCGGAAUUACUGGGCGUAAAGGGCGCGUAGGCGGCCUGUUAAGUCGAACGUGAAAUCCCCGGGCUCAACCCGGGAACUGCGUCCGAUACUGGCAGGCUUGAAUCCGGGAGAGGGAUGCGGAAUUCCAGGUGUAGCGGUGAAAUGCGUAGAUAUCUGGAGGAACACCGGUGGCGAAGGCGGCAUCCUGGACCGGCAUUGACGCUGAGGCGCGAAAGCCAGGGGAGCAAACGGGAUUAGAUACCCCGGUAGUCCUGGCCCUAAACGAUGAAUGCUUGGUGUGGCGGGUAUCGAUCCCUGCCGUGCCGAAGCUAACGCAUUAAGCAUUCCGCCUGGGGAGU
This 851-nucleotide ribosomal RNA is filed under the name uncultured bacterium. RNAcentral describes it as "bacterial SSU rRNA". It matches the Rfam family "Bacterial small subunit ribosomal RNA", at positions 48 to 881 of the family's 1533-position model. The record is from RNAcentral.